CCUUGCCUGCCCUCGAUUCGCCCGAAAAACGCUGACACCUCCACCACCCUCCUCUCUGCCUCUCUGCAACGGACUCAUUUCCAUGCCCUAAGCUCUGGCCAAGCACCACCCCACGUCGACGAUCCCGUAGAGGACUCUGCGAUCCCAUGUCAAGACUUGUGGCUACCUCACCGUCGGCAUGAUAACACUGGGUGAGGACUUCCGAUGGUGGCAGGGAGAGAAAGGCAAGUUCACUUCCAUGUGUAGGUGAGGGAGACACCUCCCAAGAUCCUAUGGAGGACAUGCAAACGGAGUAUGUGAGGAGGCGAGAUGGUACUAUGACACACUAUCUAAGGACCUUUGGGAGUACGGUGAAAGUUUUUUUUUCUUCUUCUUUUCUAUGAACUUUUGACAUGUACAAGAAGGGGUGUUGGUGUUUCCAUUUUUCUUUAGCUAAAAUUCCUUAAGUCAUUACGUUUCCGUGUAUGUCGAGUAUGGUGCUUCUUAUCCAGUGAGAUUUCUACUAUAAUUCCUUAACUGCAAUAGUUUAGAGGUAUGUCUACUUUGAUUGAAUGAUGGACUACAAUUUGAUUGGUAAA
Molecule: long non-coding RNA, 578 nt
Organism: Zingiber officinale
Lineage: Eukaryota; Viridiplantae; Streptophyta; Magnoliopsida; Zingiberales; Zingiberaceae
Exons: 2
Source: RefSeq, a predicted model, not a curated record